UACGUAGGGCGCAAGCGUUGUCCGGAAUUAUUGGGCGUAAAGAGCUCGUAGGCGGUCUGUUGCGUCCGCUGUGAAAACUCGGGGCUUAACCCCGAGCCUGCAGUGGAUACGGGCAGACUAGAGGUAGGUAGGGGAGAAUGGAAUUCCCGGUGUAGCGGUGAAAUGCGCAGAUAUCAGGAGGAACACCGAUGGCGAAGGCAGCUCGCUGGGACGGUACUGACGCUGAGGCGCGAAAGCGUGGGGAGCGAACCGG
Molecule: ribosomal RNA, 253 nt
Filed under: uncultured bacterium
Lineage: Bacteria
Description: partial 16S ribosomal RNA
Rfam family: Bacterial small subunit ribosomal RNA
Source: RNAcentral